RNA transcript from Momordica charantia (bitter melon), 2151 nucleotides. It is a transcript of the gene named zinc finger (C3HC4-type RING finger) family protein / BRCT domain-containing protein, with no coding region annotated. NCBI's taxonomy places the organism in Eukaryota, Viridiplantae, Streptophyta, Magnoliopsida, Cucurbitales, Cucurbitaceae. The record is from RefSeq and is a predicted model, not a curated record.
AUUUAUAGGAAAAAAAAAACCCCUCAAGAAGUAGCUCGCUUUCUUCUCCCUGACCAAAUUCAAAAUUAUUUUCCAAAAUUUCCCGGCAAUUCCUUGAGAAUGCUAUGGAGGAGCAACACCAGAAUCUCGCUUAUGGAGCUCUCUCCUGCCCUAAUCGACAUUAUGGUUGUCCAAUUGAAGGUAUGGAAUCUGUUGUUGCGACUGUCAGUGGCUACCAUGGCACAGAAAGAUUCAACCUUAUCAAGAUGAUAUCUUAUACUGGUGCCAGCUAUGUGGGUGCAAUGUCAAGGUCUAUUACUCAUUUGAUUUGUUGGAAAUUGGAAGGGAGGAAAUUUAGUCUUGCUAAGAAGUUCAAAACAAUAAUAGUCAACCAUCGUUGGCUUGAAGAUUGCAUCAGGCAAGGAAAGCGUGUCCCAGAAGGUCCUUACAUUCUUCAAAGUGGCCAAUCAGCAGGUCCCUUGUCAAUUGAACUCCCUCUUGCUGCCAAGGAUUCUGUCUCAACCACAAAGUAUAACGUGCUUUCUGAAAAGUCACAGAAUUGUGGAAAUGUUGAAGAGCAGAGCAUUAAAAGCAUAUACUCUUUUGGUGCAAUCUGGCCACGUUCUUGUUUGCUGGAUAAGGAUCUGUUCUCUGAUUUUGGAAAAAGUGACGACACCUCUCAUAAAUCAAAGCACAAAUUGCGGAAGAAGAUUUCUAAGCAAGAAGACCCAUCAAACUCAAGUAGCAGAAAUAAUUUUCAGGAACCAACUCCCUCCGAGUUUCUCGAAAUUGAGCGUGGUAGCUCUUCAAGCUUGGCCAGAGAUGAAAGAAAAGGUGAAAAUAGUAAUCUGUCCCCUACUGUUAAAUCUUCACGGAGGCGGCGGCUUCUGAACAGAAAUACUAGCGAAGAUCAUUGUAAGCCUGACGUUUGGGAUUUUGACCCAGAGUGCUAUCAUUUGGGAACUCGUAACCAUGGCAAUAAUUUUACAGUUUUGUCUUGCCAUUUGAAUAAUGAAAGAGAUAUUGAAGUGGUAGGCAUUGGAGGAUCAUCUGAUCAUGGUCUGUUGUGUGACGAAGGGGGAAUUGUAAGUGACAGUUUUGAAGGUGUUGAAGCUCGCGAGAAUCAAUUUACUUCCAAAGAUGCGAACUUACCAGUUGAGAAUGCACCAGGAGUCCUCAUGAUAUCUUCAGAAGAUGAAUUGUCUAAUAUUGAUACUUUACAAAAGGAAAUUGAGGACCCAGCUGUAGAACACAAUGCGAGCCUACCCACUUCAGCAGAGUUAUCAUGUGUUAUCUGUUGGACAGAUUUUAGUUCGAUGAGGGGAGUUUUGCCUUGUGGGCACCGGUUUUGCUAUUCAUGCAUUCAGAAUUGGGCAGAUCACAUGGCUUCGAGCAGAAAGAUCUCAACUUGCCCUUUGUGCAAAGCCAGUUUUCUGAGCAUCACAAAGGUUGAGGAAGCUGCCACUUCAGAUCAGAAGAUAUAUUCUCAAACAAUUCCAUGUGGCCCGUCACUAUUGGAUAUUUUCAUUCUUCCCGAUGAAAGAACUCUUAACAGCGGUGUUCAGGCCUCUGUAGGAGGUGUUUGUAGUGCAUGCCGAUGCCGGGAACCAGAAGACCUCCUCAUGAGUUGCCAUCUUUGCCAGAUUCGACAUAUUCAUUCGUACUGUCUGGACCCUCCCUUGUUACCAUGGACUUGCAUUCACUGCAAGGAUCUGCAGACACUCUACCAUCGCAGCCAUUAAUUUGUUAUCCUGAAAUCAGUAGUUGGGAGCUUUGGGAGGUAGGGCACUUCGUUUAUAUUAUUUGGGUGUCAAGAACAUCAAAUGGGGAGACAAUUGAGGGUUAGCUCAAGAUUUUGAAGCAAAGAAAAGCCAGGCUGCCUCCCACAAAUCUCCACUGCUAAGGUUGUGCCCAACACUUAUUAUUGAUAUUACUUUGAAAAGUUUCAAUUUGUUUGGCAAAUGAUUAUGAUGUGGUUUUGAAUGUAAUGUUUUACAUCAAUGACUUUUACGGAAAGAGGAGAAUAGGGAAAAAUCUACCCCUACAUCUUAAAAUUCUUAUUGUGCACAAGUAUUAUUGUUAUAUUGAAAACUCAUUGAAACUUCUCCCUUUCAACUAUUCAUAUGGGAUUUUUUUCCCCAAAAAAAUUGAUGGAUAUAUUCCAUUAUGACU